GAUGAACGCUGGCGGCGUGCCUAAUACAUGCAAGUCGAACGAAGGUAGCAAUACCUUAGUGGCGAACGGGUGAGUAACACGUAGGUAACCUGCCUUUCAGUUGGGGAUAACCGAGGGAAACUUUGGCUAAUACCGAAUUCGUGCUUCGAAGGCAUCUUCGGAGCAUAAAAGGGGCCUUUAAAGCCUCGCUGAUUGAUGGACCUGCGGCGCAUUAGUUAGUUGGUGAGAUAACAGCCCACCAAGACGAGGAUGCGUAGCCGACCUGAGAGGGUGAUCGGCCACACUGGAACUGAGACACGGUCCAGACUCCUACGGGAGGCAGCAGUAGGGAGUUUUCGGCAAUGGGGGAAACCCUGACCGAGCAACGCCGCGUGAGUGAUGAAGGUCUUCGGAUUGUAAAGCUCUGUUAUAAGGGAAGAACGGCAGCUAGAGGAAAUGCUAGCUGUUUGACGGUACUUUAUGAGAAAGCCAGGCUAACUACGUGCCAGCAGCCGCGGUAAACAUACUACG
This 510-nucleotide ribosomal RNA is filed under the name uncultured bacterium. RNAcentral's name for it is "bacterial SSU rRNA". It matches the Rfam family "Bacterial small subunit ribosomal RNA", at positions 28 to 534 of the family's 1533-position model. The record is from RNAcentral.